Hydra vulgaris (swiftwater hydra) is the source of this 371-nucleotide long non-coding RNA. RefSeq lists it as uncharacterized. The record is from RefSeq and is a predicted model, not a curated record. Lineage: Eukaryota; Metazoa; Cnidaria; Hydrozoa; Anthoathecata; Hydridae.
AUUUUUCUUGGUUUAUGUUUACUUAAGUGGGCGUGUUUCUUGAUUAUUUUUACUGUUUCAAGGCAGACAAAUCUUAAGCUGCAAUUGUAAACAUCCUAGUUGAAUUUUAGCUAACUGUGUAAAGAGCUGUUUAAUAAAAAAAUGGAGUUGUAUUCAGGUUAUAGGCAGCACUCACCACUGAAAUAAGAUGCUGUAUCAAGAAUGAUUUGAUUAAAGAAGUAGUUGUAACAACGAUUUAUAAGUUUUUAAUUUUUUUUUUUUAAAACCGUGAAGAUUAACGAUACAUGAUUACAGAAUUGUUUAGAAAGUUGCUCAAUAAAGUUGUAAUUGUAAUGUGGUUUUUGUUCGAAAUAAAUAAGCAUAUAGAAUUA